UUCCCCCGGUUCGCCUCAUUAACCUAUGGAUUCAGUUAAUGAUAGUGUGACGAAUCACACUGGGUUUCCCCAUUCGGAAAUCGCCGGUUAUAACGGUUCAUAUCACCUUAC
This 111-nucleotide ribosomal RNA is filed under the name Escherichia coli 2-156-04_S4_C2. Its description in RNAcentral is "partial 16S ribosomal RNA". Lineage: Bacteria; Pseudomonadati; Pseudomonadota; Gammaproteobacteria; Enterobacterales; Enterobacteriaceae. The record is from RNAcentral.